Molecule: ribosomal RNA, 585 nt
Filed under: uncultured Bacteroidota bacterium
Lineage: Bacteria; Pseudomonadati; Bacteroidota
Description: bacterial SSU rRNA
Rfam family: Bacterial small subunit ribosomal RNA
Source: RNAcentral
GCAUUGGUACUUGUACCAGAUGGCGACCGGCGCACGGGUGAGUAACGCGUAUGCAACCUACCUUUUACUGGGGGAUAGCCAGAAGAAAUUCUGAUUAAUACCCCAUAAUAUUAUAGACUGGCAUUGGUUUAUGAUUAAAGUUUCGGCGGUAAAAGAUGGGCAUGCGUUUUAUUAGUUAGUUGGUAAGGUAACGGCUUACCAAGACUACGAUAAAUAGGGGUCCUGAGAGGGAGAUCCCCCACACUGGUACUGAGACACGGACCAGACUCCUACGGGAGGCAGCAGUGAGGAAUAUUGGACAAUGGAGGCGACUCUGAUCCAGCCAUGCCGCGUGCAGGAAGACGGCCCUAUGGGUUGUAAACUGCUUUUAUACAGGAAGAAAUCUUUUCACGUGUGGAAAGUUGACGGUACUGUAAGAAUAAGCACCGGCUAACUCCGUGCCAGCAGCCGCGGUAAUACGGAGGGUGCAAGCGUUAUCCGGAAUCAUUGGGUUUAAAGGGUCCGUAGGCGGAUUAUUAAGUCAGAGGUGAAAUCCCACAGCUUAACUGUGGAACUGCCUUUGAUACUGGUAGUCUUGAGUUAUAA